This 305-nucleotide long non-coding RNA is filed under the name Linum usitatissimum (flax). Its description in RNAcentral is "long non-coding RNA (LUSI_LNC005328)". The record is from RNAcentral. Lineage: Eukaryota; Viridiplantae; Streptophyta; Magnoliopsida; Malpighiales; Linaceae.
AUCUUUCUUCUUUGACCUUCCCCAGGCCCAAUACUUUUUUAAUCACUAGCGUGGAAUCUUGAUAAACAGUAAUUUUGCAAAUACCCCGUGCUAUUGCGGUUUCUAGACCCAAGAUACAAGCCUCGUUGUUAGUUGCCUUGUAACCUAAUUUAUAGGCUACCGGCAAGCGGGCCCCAUCAGGUGAAACUACCACCACUCCAAUGAUCCACACUUGUUGGCGGCACCAUCGAAGUAUAAUCUCCACCCUUCCUCCUCCAUACAUUGCACGCUUUCGUCGGGGAAGCCUGGUUCAAAAUGUUCAACCC